RNAcentral lists this transfer RNA (74 nucleotides) under Kitasatospora sp. MAP12-15. RNAcentral's name for it is "tRNA-Leu". It matches the Rfam family "tRNA". Rfam says of the family: Transfer RNA (tRNA) molecules are approximately 80 nucleotides in length. Their secondary structure includes four short double-helical elements and three loops (D, anti-codon, and T loops). RNAcentral also lists the same sequence under 3 other names. Lineage: Bacteria; Bacillati; Actinomycetota; Actinomycetes; Kitasatosporales; Streptomycetaceae. The record is from RNAcentral.
GCCCAUCUAGCCCAAUCGGCAGAGGCGACGCGCUUAGAACGCGUAGGUUCCCGGUUCAAAUCCGGGGAUGGGCA